GACGAACGCUGGCGGCGUGCUUAACACAUGCAAGUCGAACGGAAAGGCCCUGCUUUUGUGGGGUGCUCGAGUUGCGAACGGGUGAGUAACACGUUAGUAACCUGCCCUUGACUUUGGGAUAACUUCAGGAAACUGGGUCUAAUACCGGAUAGGAGCUCCUGCUGCAUUGUGUGGGUUGGAAAGUUUCGGCGGUUGGGGAUGGACUCGCGGCUUAUCAGCUUGUUGGUGGGGUAGUGGCUUACCAAGGCUUUGACGGGUAGCCGGCCUGAGAGGGUGACCGGCCACAUUGGGACUGAGAGACGGCCCAGACUACAACGGGAGGCAGCAGUGGGGAAUAUUGCACAAUGGGCGGAAGCCUGAUGCAGAAACGCCGCGUGCGGGAUGACGGCCUUCGGGUUGUAAACCGAUUUCGCCUGUGACGAAGCGUGAGUGACGGUAAUGGGUAAAGAAGCACCGGCUAACUACGUG
Molecule: ribosomal RNA, 468 nt
Filed under: uncultured bacterium
Lineage: Bacteria
Description: partial 16S ribosomal RNA
Rfam family: Bacterial small subunit ribosomal RNA
Source: RNAcentral